GAAACUGAUCAUAUAACGUCUUGGCACAGCAUGAGACUCUUGAUCUCAGGGCCGUGGGUUCGAGCCCCACGUUGGGCA
Non-coding RNA from Podarcis lilfordi (Lilford's wall lizard), 78 nucleotides. The record is from the annotation of a GenBank genome assembly. Lineage: Eukaryota; Metazoa; Chordata; Lepidosauria; Squamata; Lacertidae.